GCUCAGCGAUCGAGGGCCAUCGGAUCGGCAAGGCACUCUUCCUGCCGGGAAGAGGCCUCUCCUCCACCCUCCAUGGUGGAACCCAGCUCUCUGCAUCCUGUGGUGACCACGGAGGCACAGAUCACGGCGAUCGUGCGGCAGAUGACCGUGCUGAUGGACGCGGUCAAGAGCCUUCAACAACAACCAACCCGGUUGCCGCACUCGCCGGCGAGGCAACUGGCAGCGCAUCCGAUGCCCUCCAGGAGCAGCCGCCGACGCCCGCAU
RNAcentral lists this long non-coding RNA (264 nucleotides) under Elaeis guineensis (African oil palm). Its description in RNAcentral is "long non-coding RNA (EGUI_LNC004249)". Lineage: Eukaryota; Viridiplantae; Streptophyta; Magnoliopsida; Arecales; Arecaceae. The record is from RNAcentral.